UACGUAGGGGGCAAGCGUUGUCCGGAAUCAUUGGGCGUAAAGAGCGUGUAGGCGGCCUGAUAAGUCGGCUGUGAAAGUCAAGGGCUCAACCCUUGAAUGCCGGCCGAUACUGUCAGGCUAGAGUCCGGAAGAGGCGAGUGGAAUUCCUGGUGUAGCGGUGAAAUGCGCAGAUAUCAGGAGGAACACCUAUGGCGAAGGCAGCUCGCUGGGACGGUACUGACGCUGAGGAGCGAAAGCGUGGGGAGCAAACAGG
This 253-nucleotide ribosomal RNA is filed under the name uncultured bacterium. RNAcentral's name for it is "partial 16S ribosomal RNA". It matches the Rfam family "Bacterial small subunit ribosomal RNA", at positions 524 to 776 of the family's 1533-position model. The record is from RNAcentral.